This is a non-coding RNA of Danio rerio (zebrafish), 117 nucleotides long. Lineage: Eukaryota; Metazoa; Chordata; Actinopteri; Cypriniformes; Danionidae. The record is from Rfam.
GGCCACAGCCGUAUCACCCUGCAGACAAAGACCGGUUACUCAUUGAAGCUUAACAGGGCUGAGCCUGUUCAGUACCUGAAUGUGAGACCACAUGGGAAAACUAGGUUGCUGUUGGAA